This 459-nucleotide ribosomal RNA is filed under the name uncultured Lactobacillus sp. RNAcentral describes it as "bacterial SSU rRNA". It matches the Rfam family "Bacterial small subunit ribosomal RNA", at positions 341 to 792 of the family's 1533-position model. Lineage: Bacteria; Bacillati; Bacillota; Bacilli; Lactobacillales; Lactobacillaceae. The record is from RNAcentral.
ACGGAAGGCAGCAGUAGGGAAUCUUCCACAAUGGACGCAAGUCUGAUGGAGCAACGCCGCGUGAAUGAAGCAGGCCUUCGGGUCGUAAAAUUCUGAUGUUAGAGAAGAACAUGCAGGAGAGUAACUGUUCUCGUAUUGACGGUAUCUAACCAGAAAGCCACGGCUAACUACGUGCCAGCAGCCGCGGUAAUACGUAGGUGGCAAGCGUUGUCCGGAUUUAUUGGGCGUAAAGGGAACGCAGGCGGUUUUUUAAGUCUGAUGUGAAAGCCUUCGGCUCAACCGAAGAAUUGCAUUGGAAACUGGAAGACUUGAGUGCAGAAGAGGAGAGUGGAACUCCAUGUGUAGCGGUGGAAUGCGUAGAUAUAUGGAAGAACACCAGUGGCGAAAGCGGCUCUCUGGUCUGUAACUGACGCUGAGGUUCGAAAGCGUGGGGAGCAAACAGGAUUAGAUACCCUGGUA